Small nucleolar RNA from Doryrhamphus excisus (bluestripe pipefish), 112 nucleotides. RefSeq annotates it as small nucleolar RNA SNORD67. NCBI's taxonomy places the organism in Eukaryota, Metazoa, Chordata, Actinopteri, Syngnathiformes, Syngnathidae. The record is from RefSeq and is a predicted model, not a curated record.
UACGAGAGUGAUGAGUUGCACGCCUCAGUUGGGGUGUGGUGCAGUGGCAUCGACACUCCAAUCUGACACAACCUGAUGAGACACACUGUGCACAGGGGCCAUCUGACUCAAG